AGAGUUUGAUCCUGGCUCAGAGUGAACGCUGGCGGCGUGGAUUAGGCAUGCAAGUCGAGCGAUUCUCGCAAGGGAAUAGCGGCAAACGGGUGAGUAACACGUGAGUAAUUUGCCUUAAAGCUGGACAUAGCUUCGUGAAAACGGAGGUAAUUUCCAAUGUGGUAUUCGAGAUGCAUAUUUUGAAUACUAAAGACUGGGAUCUUCGGACCAGUCACUUUAAGAUAAGCUCGCGUCCUAUCAGCUAGUUGGCGGGGUAAUGGCCCACCAAGGCAUUUGACGGGUAGCCGGCCUGAGAGGGUGUUCGGCCACACUGGGACUGAGACACUGCCCAGACUCCUACGGGAGGCUGCAGUCGAGAAUCUUUAGCAAUGGACGAAAGUCUGACUACGCGACGCCGCGUGCAGGAUGAAGGGUUUCGGCUCGUAAACUGCUUUUGUUGGGAAAGAAUAGAUGCAGGCUAAUAACCUGCGUUUUGACGGUACCUAACGAAUAAGCCACGGCCAAUUCCGUGCCAGCAGCCGCGGUAAUACGGGAGUGGCAAGCGUUACUCGGAAUUAUUGGGUGUAAAGGGUAAGUAGGCGGUUUAUUAAGUGAGGGGUGAAAUCUCCCGACUCAAUCGGGAAAUUGCCUUUCAAACUGAUAGACUUGAGGUUGGGAGAGGGAAAUGGAAUUAGCAGUGUAAGGGUGAAAUCUGUAGAUAUUGCUAAGAACACCAGCGGCGAAGGCGGUUUCCUGGUCCAAACCUGACGCUAAACUACGAAAGCUAGGGGAGCAAACAGAAUUAGAUACUCUGGUAGUCCUAGCUGUAAACGAUGAGUACUAGGUAUCGGUCCUUCGGGGUCGGCGCCACAGCUAACGCAUUAAGUACUCCACCUGGGGACUACGGCCGCAAGGCUAAAACUCAAAGGAAUUGACGGGGACCCGCACAAGCGGUGGAACAUGUGGUUUAAUUCGACGCUACGCGAAAAACCUCACCAAGGCUUGACAUACAGGAAGUAGUGAACUGAAAGGGGAACGACCCGUUAAAUCGGGAGCCUGAACAGGUGCUGCAUGGCUGUCGUCAGCUCGUGUCGUGAGAUGUUGGGUUAAGUCCCGCAACGAGCGCAACCAUUGCCCUAUGUUGCUAAUAUGUUUUCCGAAAGGUUAACGUAUGCACUCUUAGGGGACUGCCUGGGAUAACCAGGAGGAAGGCGGAGAUGACGUCAAGUCAGUACGGCCCUUAUGCCUUGGGCUACACACGUGUUACAAUGCCUGCUACAAAGGGUUGCCAACCCGCAAGGGGGAGCUAAUCUCAAAAAAGCAGGCCCAGUUCGGAUUGAAGUCUGCAAUUCGACUUCAUGAAGCCGGAAUCGCUAGUAAUGGAAGAUCAGCACGCUUCCGUGAAUACGUUCCCGGGUCUUGUACACACCGCCCGUCAAGCGAUGAAAGUUGGAAAUACCCGAAGUC
RNAcentral lists this ribosomal RNA (1446 nucleotides) under uncultured bacterium. RNAcentral's name for it is "bacterial SSU rRNA". It matches the Rfam family "Bacterial small subunit ribosomal RNA". The record is from RNAcentral.